This 1054-nucleotide long non-coding RNA is filed under the name Fragaria vesca (wild strawberry). Its description in RNAcentral is "long non-coding RNA (FVES_LNC000458)". Lineage: Eukaryota; Viridiplantae; Streptophyta; Magnoliopsida; Rosales; Rosaceae. The record is from RNAcentral.
AAAUUAAAUAAUUAAAGUGUGAAGUUCCUUAUUUGACUCAUUUUUUCGUUAUAUUUUCACAUCUCAACCGUUCAGUUUGUAGAACCUAAUGCAUAGAUCACUUCUGCAAAGUUUUAUCUAAUUUCAUAAUCAUUUGGGUUUUCUUAAUUGUUAUUUACACAAACAAUUCUAGUUAGACAAAUUUGUGGUCCGUUCAUUGAUUUGAUCUAAUUUAGUACUCAAACGAUCAUCAAUCUUUAAUUUGACUCACUUUUUCGCUUUGAUUUGAUUUAAUUGACUCAAACAUUUAUUGAUUUGAUUUAAUUUCGCUUUAAAAUUAAAAUGUGAAGUUCCUUAUUUGACUAGGGCUGGGCACGGGCCCAGACCGACACCUUUUUUAUAGGGACCAGGCCCGGACCGGGUACACUUCUAACGGGCCCAUUAUUUGCCUCAGAUUUUUUGGGACCGGCGAGAGCCCGAACUGGCAUGAACCGGGCCGGUCCUCCCGGGCUUACGGGCCAAUUUCGAGAGCCCAAUAACUGGACGAAAUAAUAUUCAAAACAGGGAAGAGAGAAGGUUCGAACCUCUCACUUGUCACAUGAGAUCCAACACGGAUACCACCAGACCAACUUGAGCUUCCGAUCAAAACUGUACAAAUGUUUAAUAUAUUCAGUUUUUAAUUCACACCUCACAUAUUAAAACUUAUUUCUUUCCCUUCUUCUUAUGCCGUCAUUCAAUUGAGAAUUUACUUCAUCUUAUUGUUCUUUUUGUGUUUCCAGGUCGUGGGUGUGGUUUGGUCAAAUUCUCUUCUCUCUCUCUCAUUUUUGUUUCCUCUCCCCCAAAUCCCUAAUCGGCUAAUACCCAUCAACUCAACAUCAGAUCUUCAUCCAAAUCAUCAUCAGUUUUUUCACUUCUAAUUUCCAUCACCAUGAACAUCAUCUGUCAUCCUCAAUUUCACAUCGGUUGAGGCAACUUCAUCCUAAGUCUACUCGGGAUAGGUGACCCGACAAUACCAACGACGAAGCAAGACUCCCAUCAUGCCGAGCGGCGCAUUCAACUGCUCUGGUGGANNNNN